This is a long non-coding RNA of Gopherus evgoodei (Goodes thornscrub tortoise), 112 nucleotides long. RefSeq lists it as uncharacterized. The transcript is spliced from 3 exons. The record is from RefSeq and is a predicted model, not a curated record. NCBI's taxonomy places the organism in Eukaryota, Metazoa, Chordata, Testudines, Testudinidae.
CCUGCAGCUCCCAUUGGCCACAGUUCCCAGCCAAUGGUAGCUGCAGAUCCAGUGCUCAGGGCAGGGGCAGUGUGAGGAGCCCCUGUGGCCACCCUUGCACACCUAGGAGCUG